UUCGGCCGACCGGCAGAGUUGGAGCAUUCUGAUCUGGCACACAGCAAACUCGGAUAGGCGAUGUGCGCUCGCAGCCCAGAAAGCCGAAGGUGCCCUGGGCUGCAUCCAAAGCAGGAUGGGCGAGAGAGGGGAUUCUGCUCCUCUGCUAUGGGAGCACAUCACCACCAGGUUGUUCUGAUACUCCUUCUACAUCUUCCAGACCUAUUUGAUUGAUGCUUUUAAUGGUGGAAGUGAGCUUUGGCACUGAAGUGGAUGUCUGCAAUGAAGUAACCAAGAGGACCUAAAACAAUUCUUGGAUAUUUGAUCCUGUUAUUUGAGUUGGGCAGGGGUCCAUGGGACACCGAGGAGAAAUCUCAGCUGCUGCUUUAGCACCCACAGCAAGGCAGAUAA
Oenanthe melanoleuca is the source of this 390-nucleotide long non-coding RNA. RefSeq lists it as uncharacterized. The record is from RefSeq and is a predicted model, not a curated record. NCBI's taxonomy places the organism in Eukaryota, Metazoa, Chordata, Aves, Passeriformes, Muscicapidae. The transcript has 3 exons.